RNAcentral lists this non-coding RNA (21 nucleotides) under Arabidopsis thaliana (thale cress). Lineage: Eukaryota; Viridiplantae; Streptophyta; Magnoliopsida; Brassicales; Brassicaceae. The record is from RNAcentral.
GAGUAAGAUUAACUGCCUCCA